RNAcentral lists this unclassified non-coding RNA (240 nucleotides) under soil metagenome. RNAcentral's name for it is "partial contains 5.8S ribosomal RNA, internal transcribed spacer 2, and large subunit ribosomal RNA". The record is from RNAcentral.
AACACUGUUAACCUGCGGUACCUGCGGAGGGAUCAUCACUGCGUUAGUUUUAUUGUGCCUGUGAACUGGGAGACUGUGGGCUGGUUGGCGGGCGCGCGUAUGUGAGCGAGCAUGUGAGCUCGCAUGUGAGCUCGCGCAGCGAGCGAGCGUGAGGCGGGUGGGGAGCGCAUGGCGCGCCGCACCCGCAUCACUCGCGCGCACCCGCCGCCAGACUGCAUUUCAAACACACACUUGCAACAC